AUUGAACGCUGGCGGCAGGCCUAACACAUGCAAGUCGAACGGUAACAGGAAGCAGCUUGCUGCUUUGCUGACGAGUGGCGGACGGGUGAGUAAUGUCUGGGAAACUGCCCGAUGGAGGGGGAUAACUACUGGAAACGGUAGCUAAUACCGCAUAACGUCGCAAGACCAAAGAGGGGGACCUUAGGGCCUCUUGCCAUCGGCUGUGCCCAGAUGGGAUUAGCUAGUAGGUAGGGUAACGGCUCACCUAGGCGACGAUCCCUAGCUGGUCUGAGAGGAUGACCAGCCACACUGGAACUGAGACACGGUCCAGACUCCUACGGGAGGCAGCAGUGGGGAAUAUUGCACAAUGGGCGCAAGCCUGAUGCAGCCAUGCCGCGUGUAUGAAGAAGGCCUUCGGGUUGUAAAGUACUUUCAGCGGGGAGGAAGGGAGUAAAGUUAAUACCUUUGCUCAUUGACGUUACCCGCAGAAGAAGCACCGGCUAACUCCGUG
Molecule: ribosomal RNA, 490 nt
Filed under: uncultured bacterium
Lineage: Bacteria
Description: partial 16S ribosomal RNA
Rfam family: Bacterial small subunit ribosomal RNA
Source: RNAcentral